GAUAUGGUAUCCGGGAAUCUCGGUGGUCGGUGCGUCGAUGUCGCGAAAACGUGCCAGCAUUCUAACGCGCCACUUCGCUGUUGAUUGUUUACGCGCGACUUCGCCGAGUUGUGCGCGCACCUGUGUGCCGAUCGUGGGAUACAAGGGAAUUCCGUGAAACGUUCGUGUGUGUGUGUGUGCUCUCUGGUGAACGCGGGGGAGUCACGGCGCGAGUUUCUUCACGGUUCUCGUCGGAGAGCUCGAAGCGAGCUCGGUGCGCCGAUUUUACGUGCCGUAUGAAUUUUUACGUUCUCUGGAAGCUGCGCGGUUUUCUUUGUCUUUCGUGUAAAAGUCCACGCUUUACGUUCUCGAAUCGAUUCGGAGAGGUCUUGCACAAUGUUGCGUCGCGGAUCAAUCGCCGAAAUAAAGUCUAUGGAACAUUUAUACUGUUGGGAUUAUGGAAUGAAAAAUGAA
Megalopta genalis is the source of this 453-nucleotide long non-coding RNA. RefSeq lists it as uncharacterized. NCBI's taxonomy places the organism in Eukaryota, Metazoa, Arthropoda, Insecta, Hymenoptera, Halictidae. The record is from RefSeq and is a predicted model, not a curated record.